AUGGAUCAUGACCUCGAGAAAGCGAGAAAUCUAAAAUUAAUUUUAUCAGCAUUCGAGCAACUCUUAGGUCUGAAGAUCAACUUUCAUAAAAGUGAAUUGUUUUGUUUUGGCGAGGCUCAAGACAAGGCCCACCUGUAUGUUGAAAUGUUCGAAUGUGAGUUGGGCCAGUUUCCGACCACAUAUUUGGGGAUACCGAUACAUUAUCGGAGAUUCACAAAUGCUGAAUGGAAACAUGUCGAGGAGAGGCUGCAAAAAAGACAUAGCAGUUGGAAAGGUAAACUGUUGUCUCUGGGUGGAAGAUUGGUCCUCAUAAACUCAGUACUAAGUAAUAUGGUACAGUAUAUGAUUUCCUUCUUCCAGUUGUCAAAAGGAGUUUUACAUAGAUUGGAUUAUUUCCGAUCAAGAUUCUUUUGGAAAGGAGAUAGCGAGCGAAAGAAAUAUAGACUGGCUAAAUGGAGUGUGGUUUGCCGUCCCAAAGACCAAGGCGGGUUGGGCAUUCAUGACCUUGAGGUUAAGAAUAUGGUCCUCCUCGACAAAUGGUUGUUUAAAGUACUGACCGAAAAUGGUGUAUGGCAAACCCUCCUGAGGAGGAAAUAUGUGGGCUCCAAGGUUGUAUCCCAAGUAUACUAG
Molecule: ribosomal RNA, 630 nt
Filed under: Triticum aestivum (bread wheat)
Lineage: Eukaryota; Viridiplantae; Streptophyta; Magnoliopsida; Poales; Poaceae
Description: partial small subunit ribosomal RNA
Source: RNAcentral